GGUAAUGCCGGAUGCUCCAGUUGACCGCAUGGUCCUCUGGGAAAGCUUUUGCGGUAUGGGAUGGGGUCGCGUCCUAUCAGCUUGAUGGCGGGGUAACGGCCCACCAUGGCUUCGACGGGUAGCCGGCCUGAGAGGGCGACCGGCCACAUUGGGACUGAGAUACGGCCCAGACUCCUACGGGAGGCAGCAGUGGGGAAUAUUGCACAAUGGGCGCAAGCCUGAUGCAGCGACGCCGCGUGCGGGAUGACGGCCUUCGGGUUGUAAACCGCUUUUGACUGGGAGCAAGCCCUUCGGGGUGAGUGUACCUUUCGAAUAAGCACCGGCUAACUACGUGCCAGCAGCCGCGGUAAUACGUAGGGUGCAAGCGUUAUCCGGAAUUAUUGGGCGUAAAGGGCUCGUAGGCGGUUCGUCGCGUCCGGUGUGAAAGUCCAUCGCUUAACGGUGGAUCCGCGCCGGGUACGGGCGGGCUUGAGUGCGGUAGGGGAGACUGGAAUUCCCGGUGUAACGGUGGAAUGUGUAG
Molecule: ribosomal RNA, 520 nt
Filed under: Bifidobacterium adolescentis
Lineage: Bacteria; Bacillati; Actinomycetota; Actinomycetes; Bifidobacteriales; Bifidobacteriaceae
Description: partial 16S ribosomal RNA
Rfam family: Bacterial small subunit ribosomal RNA
Source: RNAcentral